UAACUAAGGUCUCUUUGACAUUUUUUAUUAUAAGGAUAACUACGGGAAAAGCUGUAGGCUAAUACUUGCUUUAUUAUCCUUUGAUUUUUAUCUUUGGAUAAGUAUUUGUUAGGCCUUAUAAGAAAAAAGUUAUUAACUUAAGGAAUUAUAACAAAGAAGUAACACGUAAUAAAUUUAUUUUAUUUAGUGUGUAUCAAUCGAGU
This 203-nucleotide ribosomal RNA is filed under the name Plasmodium falciparum (malaria parasite P. falciparum). RNAcentral's name for it is "partial small subunit ribosomal RNA". The record is from RNAcentral. Lineage: Eukaryota; Apicomplexa; Aconoidasida; Haemosporida; Plasmodiidae.